CCCUAUCCCCCCUGUGUGCCCUUUGCCUCCCCACGACCUAAAUUUCGCGGCCGCGUCGACAUCAUCGAAACGGUUUACCGACCCGCAUCAACGAUCACAGCCCUUUGACCCCGCAAUUACUUCGCUUGUGGCGCCACAUCCGGCAGGCCCCGCAUGACGGGCGUUGCCCUAUGCACUCGGAGAGUUCGCGCGUUUAAAAGAGACCAAAUACCGCAUACGAUCUACGGAUGAAAGCAGGGGACCGCAAGGCCUUGCGCUCAUGGAGCGGCCGAUGGCAGAUUAGGUAGUUGGUGGGAUAAAAGCUUACCAAGCCCGACGAUCUGUAGCUGGUCCUGAGAGGACGACCAGCCACACUGGGACUGAGACACGGCCCAGACUCCUACGGGAGGCAGCAGUGGGGAAUUUUGGACAAUGGGCGAAAGCCUGAUCCAGCCAUGCCGCGUGCAGGAUUAAGGCCUUCGGGUUGUAAACUGCUUUUGUACGGAACGUCGACGCGGCCG
RNAcentral lists this ribosomal RNA (500 nucleotides) under uncultured bacterium. RNAcentral describes it as "bacterial SSU rRNA". The stretch from base 92 to 500 matches the Rfam family "Bacterial small subunit ribosomal RNA", at positions 1 to 459 of the family's 1533-position model. The record is from RNAcentral.